UGGGGAAUCUUGCACAAUGGGGGCAACCCUGAUGCAGCGACGCCGCGUGAGCGAUGAAGGUUUUCGAAUCGUAAAGCUCUGUCCUAUGGGAAGAUAAUGACGGUACCAUAGGAGGAAGCCCCGGCUAACUACGUGCCAGCAGCCGCGGUAAUACGUAGGGGGCGAGCGUUGUCCGGAAUUACUGGGCGUAAAGGGUUCGCAGGCGGCAUGGCAAGUCCGAUGUAAAAGGCGAAGGCUCAACCUUCGUAAGCAUCGGAAACUGUCAAGCUUGAGUAAAGGAGAGGAAAGUGGAAUUCCUAGUGUAGCGGUGGAAUGCGUAGAUAUUAGGAGGAAUACCGGUGGCGAAGGCGACUUUCUGGACUUGAACUGACGCUGAGGAACGAAAGCGUGGGGAGCAAACAGG
This 403-nucleotide ribosomal RNA is filed under the name Verrucomicrobiota bacterium. RNAcentral describes it as "Verrucomicrobia bacterium partial 16S ribosomal RNA". It matches the Rfam family "Bacterial small subunit ribosomal RNA", at positions 355 to 776 of the family's 1533-position model. The record is from RNAcentral. Lineage: Bacteria; Pseudomonadati; Verrucomicrobiota.